CCUACGGGUGGCAGCAGUGAGGAAUAUUGGUCAAUGGGCGUAAGCCUGAACCAGCCAAGUCGCGUGAGGGAUGAAGGUUCUAUGGAUCGUAAACCUCUUUUAUAAGGGAAUAAAGUGCGGGACGUGUCCCGUUUUGUAUGUACCUUAUGAAUAAGGAUCGGCUAACUCCGUGCCAGCAGCCGCGGUAAUACGGAGGAUCCGAGAGUUAUCCGGAUUUAUGGGGUUUAAAGGGUGCGUAGGCGGCCUUUUAAGUCAGCGGUGAAAGCCUGGGGCUCAACCAUAGAAUUGCCGUUGAAACUGGGAGGCUUGAGUAUGUUUGAGGCAGGCGGAAUGCGUGGUGUAGCGGUGAAAUGCUUAGAUAUCACGCAGAACCCCGAUUGCGAAGGCAGCCUGCCAAGCCAUGACUGACGCUGAUGCACGAAAGCGUGGGGAGCAAACAGGAUUAGAUACCCUUGUAGUC
Molecule: ribosomal RNA, 460 nt
Filed under: uncultured bacterium
Lineage: Bacteria
Description: partial 16S ribosomal RNA
Rfam family: Bacterial small subunit ribosomal RNA
Source: RNAcentral